AGCGAACGCUGGCGGCGUGCCUAACACAUGCAAGUCGAGCGAAGGCAUGAGUGUAGCAAUACACUUAUGUACUUAGCGGCGGACGGGUGAGUAACACGUGGAUAAUCUGCCCUGAGGACCGGGACAACUCUUGGAAACGGGAGCUAAUACCGGAUGUGACCACGAUGCUUGAGGGCAUUGGGGUAAAAGGGCGGCCUGCAAGGGCUGUUGCUUCGGGAUGAGUUCACGACCCAUCAGGUAGUUGGGGG
This 248-nucleotide ribosomal RNA is filed under the name uncultured bacterium. RNAcentral describes it as "partial 16S ribosomal RNA". It matches the Rfam family "Bacterial small subunit ribosomal RNA", at positions 29 to 255 of the family's 1533-position model. The record is from RNAcentral.